This is a long non-coding RNA of Trematomus bernacchii (emerald rockcod), 528 nucleotides long. RefSeq lists it as uncharacterized. NCBI's taxonomy places the organism in Eukaryota, Metazoa, Chordata, Actinopteri, Perciformes, Nototheniidae. The transcript has 3 exons. The record is from RefSeq and is a predicted model, not a curated record.
CACUGUGUUUGUGAUUCAGCUGCAAGGACUAUACAAAAGGAAGGUGGAAAAAACAGUUACCAUUCCACAUUAAACUUAAAAGGGAAUCAUGAGGAUCUCAUUUGCUUGUUUGCUGUUGCUUUCUGCUACAGUGAGCUCUCAGAAUGAGCCUUUCAUAAAGUUUAAAAAUCAGCACAUCAUCGGGAGCAUGGAUGUAAACAGUUGUGACCAGGUGAUAGAGGAGAGAGGGAUCGCCAAAGCUGACAGUAACAGGUGUAAAGAUGACCAUAUCUUCGUACUAGCAAACACCGACCGAGUCAAUAAUGUAUGUCGGCUUGCAGGAGAGCCAUAUGGUGUUUAUACCGAAAGCCUCCAACCCUUCGACAUUGUCAUCUGCAGUCUGAAGAACCAAGGGGCCCGUAGACCCCACUGUCAGUACCAAGGUCAAAGCCUCACCAGGAAAAUUGCAUUCAGAUGUGAAGAAGGCUUCCCAGUUUACUACGGCAGAGACAAUGUUGCGUACUUUCCCAACUAACUACUCACUUCACC